This is an RNA transcript of Cajanus cajan (pigeon pea), 1836 nucleotides long. It is a transcript of the gene named glycine-rich protein, with no coding region annotated. NCBI's taxonomy places the organism in Eukaryota, Viridiplantae, Streptophyta, Magnoliopsida, Fabales, Fabaceae. The record is from RefSeq and is a predicted model, not a curated record.
AGUAGAAAAUGAAGAAUGCUUGAAGAGCAUUGCAUUCCACUGAAACGCAAAACAAAAGCGUGUCGAAUGGAUUUCACGGAGAAGGACCUAUUCGGCGAAGAUUCCGACAACGAAAACGGGUCCCACUCCACCGGUUCCUCUUCUUCCUCCUCCGCCGCUUCCUCCUCCUCAUCGUCGUCGUCUUCCGCCUCUUCCUCCAACGCCAGUGACGCCGCCGCCGACUCCUCCUCCGCCAGCGGAAGCGCCAGCAGCGGCGCCGAAGACGACGAGGAGAAUGGCGACGUCGUAGACAGCACCAAGGCGCGUGCCCAUCACCAACACGACGACGAAGACAAAGAUCUGUUUGGCUCCGAUAACGAAGAUUACUGUAAAACCCUCGCUCGAAGUCCUUACCCCAUUCCUGUAUUGCCUGCCACCCGCAAUGCAAAUAAUCAGGGUAGAGGGGGGUUUGGCCGUGGUCGUUGGCAGCAAGGGCAUGGAAAUGAUAGAGGAGCUGGCCUUCUUCCUCGUCCUGGACCUUAUCCUCAGAGACAGAAUUUUGGGUACGGAAAUAGGUUUCAGAAUGGCCGCCACGAUGAGCGAUUUGUCUCUGAUUUGAAGCUUUCAAAAAGUGAAGAAACACUGUCAAGGAAGUGCAUUGCUUUUCAGGAGCCUUGUGAAAUUGCCUGCUAUAGUCGUGUAGAAGGCGGGGAAGUAUACUUUGACGAUCGUAGCUUGAGACUUUUUAAGCGUCAUAUCACCGAGGAUAUUGGAGCUGAUUUGAAUGAAGGUUAUGAUACAUUCAUUCCCAAGAAAGACUUAGGCUCAGAAGGCUUUGGCGAUCUUCUUGCUUGCAUUAGAGACAAAAAUAUUCCUCUUCAAAAUAUUCAUUUUGUGACAUUCCGUAACAAUCUUAACAAGAUACUGGCAACAGCUUAUAUCCGUCAUGAGCCUUGGGAAAUGGGAGUGCACAAAAGGAAUGGGGUUGUCUAUCUUGAUGUGCAUAAGUUACCAGAAAGACCACAAAGUGAUUUAGAUCGCAGGAGAUGUUAUGUAGGAUAUUGUUUUGAGAGCCUUGCCACUGAAGAUCCUAGAAGAGAUGAUGGAGAAGGGAUACAUCAUGUUGAUGCCAAUGUUGAAUUUUGUUCUGUGAUUAAGACAAAAUUAGGAGCUCACCGCAUUUUAAUGGGUGCUGAGAUGGAUUGCUGUGAUUCAACUAAUGAGGGAAAGAGAUUUUAUGUGGAAUUAAAGACAAGUUGUGAGUUAAAUUAUCACACUGAGGAAAGAUUUGAGAGAGAGAAACUGUUAAAGUUUUGGGUACAUUUUUAUCCUUUAUUCAGUCUUUCCUGGCUGGUGUUCCGUACAUUGUCAUAGGAUUUAGGGAUGACGCAGGUCGUCUUGUUCGAACAGAAAGGCUUAGAACCAAAGAUAUAACUCAGAGAGUGAAAAUGAAGAACUACUGGCAGGGAGGAGUCUGCUUGGCAUUUGCUGAUGAGGUAUUAUGCUGGCUGUAUGGAACAGUCAAAGAAGGUGAAGAUUACAUUUUGCAGUUUGCUCCACCUUUCAACCGUUUAGAGCUUCUGCAAGCCCAGUCAUGCCCAGAUGUAAUAACAAGUCAUCUGGAGCUGUUGUGAAAAUUUGACAGUUAUUAUUUAAACAAUUCAAUACACGAAGUAAGGGGAAUCAACUCUGGAUUCUCACCCGCUGCUUUGAUCAGUUCACGAACUUCUAGUAUAGGGGUACUCUCUGCGAGUGCUGAGAUUUGCAUUCACAUCUUUAUAGAAACUUGUGGAAAUAUUAUGGCCAUGUUUAGUUGGAAUAUAGUUCUUUAUUUUACCGUUCUCAUCUUUAUGCUUC